GAGUUUGAUCCUGGCUCAGGAUGAACGCUAGCGGCAGGCCUAACACAUGCAAGUCGAGGGGUAGAACACUUCGGUGUUUGAGACCGGCGCACGGGUGCGUAACGCGUAUGCAAUCUGCCUUGUACUAAGGGAUAGCCCAGAGAAAUUUGGAUUAAUACCUUAUAGUAUAUAGAUGUGGCAUCACAUUUAUAUUAAAGAUUUAUCGGUACAAGAUGAGCAUGCGUCCCAUUAGCUAGUUGGUAUGGUAACGGCAUACCAAGGCAAUGAUGGGUAGGGGUCCUGAGAGGGAGAUCCCCCACACUGGUACUGAGACACGGACCAGACUCCUACGGGAGGCAGCAGUGAGGAAUAUUGGUCAAUGGGCGCAAGCCUGAACCAGCCAUGCCGCGUGCAGGAUGAAGCGUCUAUGGUGUGUAAACUGCUUUUGUACGGGAAGAAACAGCUCUUCGUGAAGAGCCUUGACGGUACCGUAAGAAUAAGGAUCGGCUAACUCCGUGCCA
This 500-nucleotide ribosomal RNA is filed under the name uncultured Flavobacterium sp. RNAcentral describes it as "bacterial SSU rRNA". It matches the Rfam family "Bacterial small subunit ribosomal RNA", at positions 9 to 510 of the family's 1533-position model. Lineage: Bacteria; Pseudomonadati; Bacteroidota; Flavobacteriia; Flavobacteriales; Flavobacteriaceae. The record is from RNAcentral.